AUCAUCAUCAUCAUCAUCAUCAUCAUCAUCAUCAUCAUCAUCAUAAUCAUCAUCAUCAUCAUCAUCAUCAUCAUCAUCAUCAUCAUCAUCAUCAUCAUCAUCAUCAUCAUCAUCAUCAAUCAUCAUCAUCAUCAUCAUCAUCAUCAUCAUCAUCAUCAUUAAUCAUCAUCAUCAUCAUCAUCAUCAUCAUCAUCAUCAUCAU
RNAcentral lists this long non-coding RNA (202 nucleotides) under Volvox carteri. RNAcentral describes it as "long non-coding RNA (VCAR_LNC004425)". The record is from RNAcentral. Lineage: Eukaryota; Viridiplantae; Chlorophyta; Chlorophyceae; Chlamydomonadales; Volvocaceae.